CCCGCAAUCAGUACACUCCUACACUUUAAAAAAUAAUAAUAAUAAUACUAAUCACCUCUCUGGCAAACACUCGAAAUAUUCUGUCCAGUUUAUUUAAAAAUGAAACCGAGAACCGUUGAUGAUAAAACAGACAACACGAAAACCCGACAGCAAGGACGAUAACCCUAAAAACAGAAACCCGGCAAAUCCCAACGCGAUAGCGGUGUAUGAUUGCACGCAGAAAGCAUUGCUUACCCUACACGUGUCACCGCCGUUCAGCGUCCUUGCC
RNAcentral lists this unclassified non-coding RNA (268 nucleotides) under Hevea brasiliensis (rubber tree). Lineage: Eukaryota; Viridiplantae; Streptophyta; Magnoliopsida; Malpighiales; Euphorbiaceae. The record is from RNAcentral.